CAGGUGCCAGGAGAUGUUACCACUGGACCGUGAGGAGGAUCUGAGCAGAGUGGUUGAGUUGUCAAGAGAACUUAUGAUUACCAGCUUGAAGGACCUGCCGACUCCUAAUUCACUUGAUUGCUCUCCUGCUAUUCCUUGCUGGAACAGUGAAAGACAGGUCCAGCAGCUCCGAUAAUUUCCAGCCAUUGGAUAUGAUGACUGAGGCCAGUGGGAUUAGAAUCCAGCAAUACCCAAGGUCCACCUGCUCCCACGUGGAACUGAUGAACUGCUGAGAUGACUCUCAGAUGCUGUUCUGGGUUGCAGGUGAGAUCAGAAAGGUGUUGGAUUUGAGUUUGCCCCUCUGUUCAAAGUCCUUCUUAAAUGGGCUGAACAGGAACCUUGGGAUGGUGAAAGUGAAGUGGGGAAUGGAAGACAUGCGUCUUGAAAGGAGAAGAAGAAUAUAUUGAUGGUGCACUGUCUGGACACGAGGAUGAAGUUUUGAGAAGGUGCAAAAAUGUCUUAUAUUUAGGGGAUAAAAAAGAAGAAGAUGGAGCAAUGACAAAAUAAAUCUUCCAUUGCUUUUUUAAAAGUAAGGUUU
RNAcentral lists this long non-coding RNA (577 nucleotides) under Salvator merianae (Argentine black and white tegu). Its description in RNAcentral is "lncRNA (ENSSMRG00000009009.1)". The record is from RNAcentral. Lineage: Eukaryota; Metazoa; Chordata; Lepidosauria; Squamata; Teiidae.